RNAcentral lists this ribosomal RNA (486 nucleotides) under Lactiplantibacillus plantarum. RNAcentral's name for it is "bacterial SSU rRNA". It matches the Rfam family "Bacterial small subunit ribosomal RNA", at positions 26 to 478 of the family's 1533-position model. The record is from RNAcentral. Lineage: Bacteria; Bacillati; Bacillota; Bacilli; Lactobacillales; Lactobacillaceae.
AGGACGAACGCUGGCGGCGUGCCUAAUACAUGCAAGUCGAACGAACUCUGGUAUUGAUUGGUGCUUGCAUCAUGAUUUACAUUUGAGUGAGUGGCGAACUGGUGAGUAACACGUGGGAAACCUGCCCAGAAGCGGGGGAUAACACCUGGAAACAGAUGCUAAUACCGCAUAACAACUUGGACCGCAUGGUCCGAGCUUGAAAGAUGGCUUCGGCUAUCACUUUUGGAUGGUCCCGCGGCGUAUUAGCUAGAUGGUGGGGUAACGGCUCACCAUGGCAAUGAUACGUAGCCGACCUGAGAGGGUAAUCGGCCACAUUGGGACUGAGACACGGCCCAAACUCCUACGGGAGGCAGCAGUAGGGAAUCUUCCACAAUGGACGAAAGUCUGAUGGAGCAACGCCGCGUGAGUGAAGAAGGGUUUCGGCUCGUAAAACUCUGUUGUUAAAGAAGAACAUAUCUGAGAGUAACUGUUCAGGUAUGACGGUAU